This 392-nucleotide ribosomal RNA is filed under the name Microbacterium sp. LL29. Its description in RNAcentral is "bacterial SSU rRNA". It matches the Rfam family "Bacterial small subunit ribosomal RNA", at positions 68 to 458 of the family's 1533-position model. Lineage: Bacteria; Bacillati; Actinomycetota; Actinomycetes; Micrococcales; Microbacteriaceae. The record is from RNAcentral.
GUGAACACGGAGCUUGCUCUGUGGGAUCAGUGGCGAACGGGUGAGUAACACGUGAGCAACCUGCCCCUGACUCUGGGAUAAGCGCUGGAAACGGCGUCUAAUACUGGAUAUGUGACGUGACCGCAUGGUCUGCGUUUGGAAAGAUUUUUCGGUUGGGGAUGGGCUCGCGGCCUAUCAGCUUGUUGGUGAGGUAAUGGCUCACCAAGGCGUCGACGGGUAGCCGGCCUGAGAGGGUGACCGGCCACACUGGGACUGAGACACGGCCCAGACUCCUACGGGAGGCAGCAGUGGGGAAUAUUGCACAAUGGGCGAAAGCCUGAUGCAGCAACGCCGCGUGAGGGAUGACGGCCUUCGGGUUGUAAACCUCUUUUAGCAGGGAAGAAGCGAAAGUG